Molecule: ribosomal RNA, 464 nt
Filed under: Vreelandella stevensii
Lineage: Bacteria; Pseudomonadati; Pseudomonadota; Gammaproteobacteria; Oceanospirillales; Halomonadaceae
Description: partial 16S ribosomal RNA
Rfam family: Bacterial small subunit ribosomal RNA
Source: RNAcentral
CCUACGGGGUGCAGCAGUGGGGAAUAUUGGACAAUGGGCGAAAGCCUGAUCCAGCCAUGCCGCGUGUGUGAAGAAGGCCUUCGGGUUGUAAAGCACUUUCAGUGGGGAAGAAAGCCUUGGGGCUAAUACCCUCGAGGAAGGACAUCACCCACAGAAGAAGCACCGGCUAACUCCGUGCCAGCAGCCGCGGUAAUACGGAGGGUGCGAGCGUUAAUCGGAAUUACUGGGCGUAAAGCGCGCGUAGGCGGUCUGAUAAGCCGGUUGUGAAAGCCCCGGGCUCAACCUGGGAACGGCAUCCGGAACUGUCAGGCUAGAGUGCAGGAGAGGAAGGUAGAAUUCCCGGUGUAGCGGUGAAAUGCGUAGAGAUCGGGAGGAAUACCAGUGGCGAAGGCGGCCUUCUGGACUGACACUGACGCUGAGGUGCGAAAGCGUGGGUAGCAAACAGGAUUAGAUCCCUAGUAGUC